Acanthosepion pharaonis is the source of this 111-nucleotide non-coding RNA. NCBI's taxonomy places the organism in Eukaryota, Metazoa, Mollusca, Cephalopoda, Sepiida, Sepiidae. The record is from the annotation of a GenBank genome assembly.
CGACCUCAGUACAUUGAAACACCAGUUUCCCUACAAGCACCGAAGUUAAGCAACGUCGAGACUGGUCAGUACGUAGAUGGGUGACCGCAUGGGAAUACCUGCUAUUGUAAG